Molecule: ribosomal RNA, 599 nt
Filed under: Salmonella enterica subsp. enterica serovar Typhimurium
Lineage: Bacteria; Pseudomonadati; Pseudomonadota; Gammaproteobacteria; Enterobacterales; Enterobacteriaceae
Description: bacterial SSU rRNA
Rfam family: Bacterial small subunit ribosomal RNA
Source: RNAcentral
AAAUUGAAGAGUUUGAUCAUGGCUCAGAUUGAACGCUGGCGGCAGGCCUAACACAUGCAAGUCGAACGGUAACAGGAAGCAGCUUGCUGCUUCGCUGACGAGUGGCGGACGGGUGAGUAAUGUCUGGGAAACUGCCUGAUGGAGGGGGAUAACUACUGGAAACGGUGGCUAAUACCGCAUAACGUCGCAAGACCAAAGAGGGGGACCUUCGGGCCUCUUGCCAUCAGAUGUGCCCAGAUGGGAUUAGCUUGUUGGUGAGGUAACGGCUCACCAAGGCGACGAUCCCUAGCUGGUCUGAGAGGAUGACCAGCCACACUGGAACUGAGACACGGUCCAGACUCCUACGGGAGGCAGCAGUGGGGAAUAUUGCACAAUGGGCGCAAGCCUGAUGCAGCCAUGCCGCGUGUAUGAAGAAGGCCUUAGGGUUGUAAAGUACUUUCAGCGGGGAGGAAGGUGUUGUGGUUAAUAACCGCAGCAAUUGACGUUACCCGCAGAAGAAGCACCGGCUAACUCCGUGCCAGCAGCCGCGGUAAUACGGAGGGUGCAAGCGUUAAUCGGAAUUACUGGGCGUAAAGCGCACGCAGGCGGUCUGUCAAGUC